AACCGAUUCACGGCCCAUGCUGACUUUGU
RNAcentral lists this non-coding RNA (29 nucleotides) under Mus musculus (house mouse). The record is from RNAcentral. Lineage: Eukaryota; Metazoa; Chordata; Mammalia; Rodentia; Muridae.